UUGGAGGGCAAGUCUGGUGCCAGCAGCCGCGGUAAUUCCAGCUCCAAUAGCGUAUAUUAAAGUUGUUGCAGUUAAAAAGCUCGUAGUUGAAUUUCGGGAUUGACGUGAUGGUCAUGCCUUAAGGGGUAUGAACUGUUACAGUUGAUUUCUCACCUUCUGGAGAAACAUGAUGUCCUUUAUUGGGUGUCUUGCGGAUCCAGGACCUUUACCUUGAAAAAAUUAGAGUGUUUAAAGCAGGCAUUUUUGCUCGAAUACAUUAGCAUGGAAUAAUAGAAUAGGACGGCAUGGUUCUAUUUUGUUGGUUUCUAGGAUCACCGUAAUGAUUAAUAGGGAUAGUUGGGGGCAUUAGUAUUCGAUUGUCAGAGGUGAAAUUCUUGGAUUUAUUGAAGACUAACUACUGCGAAAGCAUUUGCCAAGGAUGUUUUCAUUAAUCAAGAACGAAAGUUAGGGGAUCGAAGACGAUCAGAUACCGUCGUAGUCUUAACCAUAAACUAUGCCGACUAGGAAUCAGACGAUGUUAAUUUUUUAAUGACUCGUUUGGCACCUUACGGGAAACCAAAGUGUUUGGGUUC
This 572-nucleotide ribosomal RNA is filed under the name uncultured Glomeromycotina. RNAcentral's name for it is "SSU rRNA". It matches the Rfam family "Eukaryotic small subunit ribosomal RNA", at positions 548 to 1114 of the family's 1831-position model. Lineage: Eukaryota; Fungi; Glomeromycota. The record is from RNAcentral.